GAUGAACGCUGGCGGUGUGCCUAAUACAUGCAAGUCGAGCGAACAGACGAGGAGCUUACUCCUCUGACGUUAGCGGCGGACGGGUGAGUAACACGUGGAUAACCUACCUAUAAGACUGGGAUAACUUCGGGAAACCGGAGCUAAUACCGGAUAACAUGUUGAACCGCAUGGUUCAACAGUGAAAGACGGUCUUGCUGUCACUUAUAGAUGGAUCCGCGUCGCAUUAGCUAGUUGGUAAGGUAACGGCUUACCAAGGCAACGAUGCGUAGCCGACCUGAGAGCGUGAUCGGCCACACUGGAACUGAGACACGGUCCAGACUCCGACGGGAGGCAGCAGUAGGGAAUCUUCCGCAAUGGGCGAAAGCCUGACGGAGCAACGCCGCGUGAGUGAAGAAGGUCUUCGGAUCGUAAAACUCUGUUAUUAGGGAAGAACAAAUGUGUAAGUAACUAUGCACGUCUUGACGGUACCUAAUCAGAAAGCCACGGCUAACUACGUG
Molecule: ribosomal RNA, 497 nt
Filed under: uncultured bacterium
Lineage: Bacteria
Description: partial 16S ribosomal RNA
Rfam family: Bacterial small subunit ribosomal RNA
Source: RNAcentral